Molecule: non-coding RNA, 82 nt
Organism: Haemonchus placei
Lineage: Eukaryota; Metazoa; Nematoda; Chromadorea; Rhabditida; Trichostrongylidae
Source: Rfam
GGAUACGGUAGCUGAAGAGAGCCGUCCGUUGACAGUUCACUAUGGACGCUGUCAUGGAGUCGCUCUCUUCAGACUCCUAGAU